RNAcentral lists this long non-coding RNA (464 nucleotides) under Pan troglodytes (chimpanzee). RNAcentral describes it as "long non-coding RNA NONPTRT016613". Lineage: Eukaryota; Metazoa; Chordata; Mammalia; Primates; Hominidae. The record is from RNAcentral.
CACGCCAAGGGAGGGGAAGGAGAAUAUUCAUCCUCUUUUCCCAUUUGGUGUCACAUGCAAUUAUUUGGGGCCCAAAGCAGGUCAGCUUAUAUCCAGGCAUAAAACAAAAAUUGCAUUGCCUUCCUAUGGAUACAAAGAGGUUCGGCUGAUGGCAGCAAGAGUUGGGAAGGCUUGGCUUACAGAGCAUUAGCUUAUCCAAGCAGAACGUUCUCCGUUCCAAUAACAGAAGCCAGGAGGAAUAAGAAACUGAUCAUUACAAAGCAUCUCUUAUAUGGAAGGCAUCAAUGAGAACCAAAAUAAAAACUACAAUCCCUCACUCAAGAAGUUUAAAAUGAAGUGAAUGGACAAUUGUGAGAAGAAAUGCUAUUGAUCUUCCAAAGUUGUAUAUUCGAUAGUGAAUAUUGUAUGUUUAAAGUAACCUUGCAAAAUGUGUCAUGUCAAAUGUAAUAAAUUGUAUGUUCUGA